This 494-nucleotide ribosomal RNA is filed under the name uncultured bacterium. RNAcentral's name for it is "partial 16S ribosomal RNA". It matches the Rfam family "Bacterial small subunit ribosomal RNA", at positions 28 to 507 of the family's 1533-position model. The record is from RNAcentral.
GACGAACGCUGGCGGCGUGCUUAACACAUGCCAGUCGAACGGUGAAGCGCCUUCCUUUUUGGUGGGUGUGGAUGAGUGGCGAACGGGUGAGUAACACGUGAGUAACCUGCCCCCUUCUUCUGGAUAACCGCAUGAAAGUGUGGCUAAUACGGGAUAUUCUGGGUCUGUCGCAUGAUGGGUCUGGGAAAGAUAUUGUUUCGGUGGGGGAUGGGCUCGCGGCCUAUCAGCUUGUUGGUGGGGUGAUGGCCUACCAAGGCGGUGACGGGUAGCCGGCAUGGGAGGGGGGACGGACACACUGGGACUGAGACACGGCCCAGACGCCUACGGGAGGCAGCAGGGGGGAAGAUGGCACAAUGGGCGCAAGCCUGAUGCAGCGACGCCGCGUGAGGGAUGGAGGCCUUCGGGUUGUGAACCUCUUUCGCCAGUGAAGCAGGCCUGCCUCGUUUGUGGGUGGGUUGACGGUAGCUGGAUAAGAAGCGCCGGCUAACUACGUG